CGGGUGCUUAGUGGCGCACGGGUGCGUAACGCGUGGGAAUCUGCCCCUUGGUUCGGAAUAACAGUUGGAAACGACUGCUAAUACCGGAUGAUGACGUAAGUCCAAAGAUUUAUCGCCGAGGGAUGAGCCCGCGUAGGAUUAGGUAGUUGGUGUGGUAAAGGCGCACCAAGCCGACGAUCCUUAGCUGGUCUGAGAGGAUGAUCAGCCACACUGGGACUGAGACACGGCCCAG
RNAcentral lists this ribosomal RNA (232 nucleotides) under uncultured Sphingomonadales bacterium. RNAcentral describes it as "partial 16S ribosomal RNA". It matches the Rfam family "Bacterial small subunit ribosomal RNA", at positions 85 to 334 of the family's 1533-position model. The record is from RNAcentral. Lineage: Bacteria; Pseudomonadati; Pseudomonadota; Alphaproteobacteria; Sphingomonadales.